Molecule: transfer RNA, 71 nt
Filed under: Chamberlainia hainesiana
Lineage: Eukaryota; Metazoa; Mollusca; Bivalvia; Unionida; Unionidae
Description: tRNA-Phe
Rfam family: tRNA
About the family: Transfer RNA (tRNA) molecules are approximately 80 nucleotides in length.
Source: RNAcentral
GAAUGAAUAGCUUAAACAUUAAUAAAGCAUAACACUGAAAAUGUUAAACUGUCAGUAAAAGACUUCACUCG